AUUGAACGCUGGCGGCAGGCCUAACACAUGCAAGUCGAGCGGAUGAAGGGAGCUUGCUCCUGGAUUCAGCGGCGGACGGGUGAGUAAUGCCUAGGAAUCUGCCUGGUAGUGGGGGAUAACGUCCGGAAACGGGCGCUAAUACCGCAUACGUCCUGAGGGAGCAAGUUGGGGAUCUUCGGACCUCACGCUCUCAGAUGAGCCUAGGUCGGAUUAGCUAGUUGGUGGGGUAAAGGCCUACCAAGGCGACGAUCCGUAACUGGUCUGAGAGGAUGAUCAGUCACACUGGAACUGAGACACGGUCCAGACGCCUAAGGGAGGCAGCAGUGGGGAAUAUUGGACAAUGGGCGAAAGCCUGAUCCAGCCAUGCAGCGUGUGUGAAGAAGGUCUUCGGAUUGUAAAGAACUUUAAGUUGGGAGGAAGGGCAGUAAGUUAAAACCUUGCUGUUGUGGCGUUACCAACAGAAUAAGCACCGGCUAACUUCGUG
Molecule: ribosomal RNA, 484 nt
Filed under: uncultured bacterium
Lineage: Bacteria
Description: partial 16S ribosomal RNA
Rfam family: Bacterial small subunit ribosomal RNA
Source: RNAcentral